GAGGGUAUUGCUCAGUGGUAGAGCGCGUGCUUAGUAUGCACAAGGUCCUGGGAUAAAUCCCAAGUACCGCCA
This 72-nucleotide transfer RNA is filed under the name Camelus bactrianus (Bactrian camel). It matches the Rfam family "tRNA". From Rfam's summary of the family: Transfer RNA (tRNA) molecules are approximately 80 nucleotides in length. Their secondary structure includes four short double-helical elements and three loops (D, anti-codon, and T loops). Further hydrogen bonds mediate the characteristic L-shaped molecular structure. tRNAs have two regions of fundamental functional importance: the anti-codon, which is responsible for specific mRNA codon recognition, and the 3' end, to which the tRNAs corresponding amino acid is attached (by aminoacyl-tRNA synthetases). tRNAs cope with the degeneracy of the genetic code in two manners: having more than one tRNA (with a specific anti-codon) for a particular amino acid; and 'wobble' base-pairing, i.e. permitting non-standard base-pairing at the 3rd anti-codon position. The record is from Rfam by way of RNAcentral. Lineage: Eukaryota; Metazoa; Chordata; Mammalia; Artiodactyla; Camelidae. RNAcentral also lists the same sequence under 1 other name.